CUACGGGUGGCUCCAGUGGGGAAUAUUGGACAAUGGGGAAACCCUGAUCCAGCAAUGCCGCGUGUGUGAAGAAGGCCUGCGGGUUGUAAAGCACUUUCGGUUGGGAGGACUGCUUCUAGCACUAAUAUUGUCGGAAGUUGACGUUACCUUCAGAAGAAGCACCGGCUAACUCCGUGCCAGCAGCCGCGGUAAUACGGAGGGUGCAAGCGUUAAUCGGAAUUACUGGGCGUAAAGCGCGCGUAGGCGGCUAGAUCAGUCGGGUGUGAAAGCCCCGGGCUUAACCUGGGAACUGCAUCCGAUACUGUCUAGCUUGAGUACAGGAGAGGAGAGUGGAAUUCCACAUGUAGCGGUGAAAUGCGUAGAUAUGUGGAGGAACACCAAUGGCGAAGGCAGCUCUCUGGCCUGAUACUGACGCUGAGGUGCGAAAGCGUGGGGAUCAAACAGGAUUAGAUACCCGAGUAGUC
This 464-nucleotide ribosomal RNA is filed under the name uncultured bacterium. Its description in RNAcentral is "partial 16S ribosomal RNA". It matches the Rfam family "Bacterial small subunit ribosomal RNA", at positions 339 to 795 of the family's 1533-position model. The record is from RNAcentral.